GCCCCCAUAGCUCAAUGGAUUAGAGCAGUCCCGUCCUAAGGGAAAAAUGAGAGUUCGAUUCUUUCUGGGGGCA
This 73-nucleotide transfer RNA is filed under the name Candidatus Liptonbacteria bacterium. Its description in RNAcentral is "tRNA-Arg". It matches the Rfam family "tRNA". Rfam says of the family: Transfer RNA (tRNA) molecules are approximately 80 nucleotides in length. The record is from RNAcentral. Lineage: Bacteria; Candidatus Liptoniibacteriota.